UACUCGUGAGUAGCAAGCAAAGAAGACGAUCCACCACAAGAAGCUAAACACAAGAAAAGAGUGAGAGCUUAAAAAAACGAGAGUUUUUUUUUAUAUAAACCAAGAAGGUUUAUAAGAAACUGUGAGGGUUUCAAAAAUAGAGAGAAAAUUUUGUGGGUAUGAGAGUUUUUUUUUUAUAUAAACCAAGAAGGUUUAUAAGAAAC
RNAcentral lists this long non-coding RNA (203 nucleotides) under Nicotiana benthamiana. RNAcentral's name for it is "long non-coding RNA (NBEN_LNC027719)". Lineage: Eukaryota; Viridiplantae; Streptophyta; Magnoliopsida; Solanales; Solanaceae. The record is from RNAcentral.